UCGAAGAGUUAGAACUCCGAUUUUUCAAACUGAACUUGUAUUCCGACAAUGGAGUUACAAAAUUCACUGAUAAUACAGCUUCAAAUUGUCGGCGUUCCAAGUUCGGGGAAUGGGUUUCCCCUCAAGGGUCUCCAGCCGAUAGGCUCUCGGCCCGAAGGUGUCUGCAACCUUGUAGGGUCCUUCCCAGUUGGGAGCCAGCUUCCCUUGG
RNAcentral lists this long non-coding RNA (208 nucleotides) under Elaeis guineensis (African oil palm). RNAcentral's name for it is "long non-coding RNA (EGUI_LNC079329)". The record is from RNAcentral. Lineage: Eukaryota; Viridiplantae; Streptophyta; Magnoliopsida; Arecales; Arecaceae.